AGCUUUGCGCAGUGGCAGUAUCGUAGCCAAUGAGGUUUAUCCGAGGCGUGAUUAUUGCUAAUUGAAAACUUUUCCCAAACUAUCCUGAAAUUGUAUGUGGGAAUUUUAAAGGUAGUCUUUCUAACAAGAAUGAUCUC
This is a small nuclear RNA of Mirounga angustirostris (Northern elephant seal), 137 nucleotides long. RefSeq annotates it as U4 spliceosomal RNA. The record is from RefSeq and is a predicted model, not a curated record. The transcript has a single exon. Lineage: Eukaryota; Metazoa; Chordata; Mammalia; Carnivora; Phocidae.